GCGGAACGAGUUAUCUGAACCUUCGGGGAACGAUAACGGCGUCGAGCGGCGGACGGGUGAGUAAUGCCUAGGAAAUUGCCCUGAUGUGGGGGAUAACCAUUGGAAACGAUGGCUAAUACCGCAUAAUGCCUACGGGCCAAAGAGGGGGACCUUCGGGCCUCUCGCGUCAGGAUAUGCCUAGGUGGGAUUAGCUAGUUGGUGAGGUAAGGGCUCACCAAGGCGACGAUCCCUAGCUGGUCUGAGAGGAUGAUCAGCCACACUGGAACUGAGACACGGUCCAGACUCCUACGGGAGGCAGCAGUGGGGAAUAUUGCACAAUGGGCGCAAGCCUGAUGCAGCCAUGCCGCGUGUGUGAAGAAGGCCUUCGGGUUGUAAAGCACUUUCAGUCGUGAGGAAGGUAGUGUAGUUAAUAGCUGCAUUAUUUGACGUUAGCGACAGAAGAAGCACCGGCUAACUCCGUGCCAGCAGCCGCGGUAAUACGGAGGGUGCGAGCGUUAAUCGGAAUUACUGGGCGUAAAGCGCAUGCAGGUGGUUUGUUAAGUCAGAUGUGAAAGCCCGGGGCUCAACCUCGGAAUUGCAUUUGAAACUGGCAGACUAGAGUACUGUAGAGGGGGGUAGAAUUUCAGGUGUAGCGGUGAAAUGCGUAGAGAUCUGAAGGAAUACCGGUGGCGAAGGCGGCCCCCUGGACAGAUACUGACACUCAGAUGCGAAAGCGUGGGGAGCAAACAGGAUUAGAUACCCUGGUAGUCCACGCCGUAAACGAUGUCUACUUGGAGGUUGUGGCCUUGAGCCGUGGCUUUCGGAGCUAACGCGUUAAGUAGACCGCCUGGGGAGUACGGUCGCAAGAUUAAAACUCAAAUGAAUUGACGGGGGCCCGCACAAGCGGUGGAGCAUGUGGUUUAAUUCGAUGCAACGCGAAGAACCUUACCUACUCUUGACAUCCAGAGAACUUUCCAGAGAUGGAUUGGUGCCUUCGGGAACUCUGAGACAGGUGCUGCAUGGCUGUCGUCAGCUCGUGUUGUGAAAUGUUGGGUUAAGUCCCGCAACGAGCGCAACCCUUAUCCUUGUUUGCCAGCG
This 1077-nucleotide ribosomal RNA is filed under the name uncultured bacterium. RNAcentral describes it as "bacterial SSU rRNA". It matches the Rfam family "Bacterial small subunit ribosomal RNA", at positions 66 to 1123 of the family's 1533-position model. The record is from RNAcentral.